UUCAAUGAGCGGCGGUAGCAGGGGUACCGCAAGGUACGCCGGUUUCCUUUUGCACCGGUUCGCCAACCCUGCUAUUCGCUGCUCCCCCCG
Molecule: non-coding RNA, 90 nt
Filed under: Pseudoduganella violacea
Lineage: Bacteria; Pseudomonadati; Pseudomonadota; Betaproteobacteria; Burkholderiales; Oxalobacteraceae
Source: RNAcentral